RNAcentral lists this ribosomal RNA (459 nucleotides) under uncultured bacterium. RNAcentral describes it as "partial 16S ribosomal RNA". It matches the Rfam family "Bacterial small subunit ribosomal RNA", at positions 338 to 795 of the family's 1533-position model. The record is from RNAcentral.
CCUACGGGUGGCUGCAGUGAGGAAUAUUGGUCAAUGGUCGGGAGACUGAACCAGCCAAGCCGCGUGAGGGAGGAAGGUACAGAGUAUCGUAAACCUCUUUUUUCAGGGAACAAAGACUUGGACGCGUCCCCGGAUGAGUGUACCUGAAUAAAAAGCAUCGGCUAACUCCGUGCCAGCAGCCGCGGGAAUACGGAGGAUGCGAGCGUUAUCCGGAUUUAUUGGGGUUAAAGGGUGCGCAGGCGGUCUGUUAAGUCAGCGGUCAAAGCCCGGGGCUCAACCCCGGCCCGCCGUUGAAACUGGCAGUCUCGAGUUGGAGAGAAGUAUGCGGAAUGCGAGGUGUAGCGGUGAAAUGCAUAGAUAUCGCGCAGAACGCCGAUUGCGAAGGCAGCAUGCCGGCUCCACACUGACGCUGAGGCACGAAAGCGUGGGUAUCGAACAGGAUUAGAUACCCCAGUAGUC